Molecule: ribosomal RNA, 3363 nt
Filed under: Triticum aestivum (bread wheat)
Lineage: Eukaryota; Viridiplantae; Streptophyta; Magnoliopsida; Poales; Poaceae
Description: partial small subunit ribosomal RNA
Source: RNAcentral
AUGGCGCUCCAGCUUCGCCGCCUCCUCCCGCACGGCUACGCGCACCGCGCCGUCACCCUCGCCACCAAGCCGCUGCCGCCGGCGCCGGCCAUGCUUCACUUUGGGACUUCCCAGAGAUACUCAUGCUCCUUCAUGCCUUAUUCGCCUCUCCGUCCUUGUCAAAUGUGUGGAGUCGCAGUACGGAAUAGUGCAACGAGGAAAAUGUCUCUAAGAAAUAGCUCUCAGCUCGCCCUACAGCUCAGAAGCAGUGCCUUUUUGACUACUGGGCUCUCGGGGUACCACAGUUCUGUAAGUUCCAGGGCUGCAGCUAUCUGUGGAGUUGCUUUAAAGGCUACCAGUAGUGUUAAUUCACGGCUCUUCUCGACUGCAUAUGGUAAAAAGUUAAGGCUUCUCAUUAGAAAUAAGAGCUCAUUUAGCCAUCCAAAUAUAAAUAGGGAAGAUGGGAGUGCUGCCCAUAGUUACGUCCAUAAAUCUGAGAGACGCAAAAGCACACUAGCUGCAUGUAGCACCAUCGCUGAUGAGGCUUCCACAUCUACUAGCAAGUGCAGCGAGAGUGGUACAGAUACUAAAAAGGACAUUGCAAAGAAGAAGAAUUCUAGAGGCAGCAAAAAAGAAGUUAGUGCAGAUGUGAAAGAAAAGAAAGUUUCUACCAAGAAAAAGAGCACUUCUGCUAAAACUAGUAAAACAGCAGCAAAGACAACUGAGAAAGCUAGUGCGAAGCAAGAAGAAAAGAAGGUCGACGCAUCUAAACCAAAGAAAGGGGUUGGUAGUUCCAAAGAGAAAAAAACAGUAACCAGAUCGAAGAAACCUGUGAAAGCAAAGGAGUCAGCUGCUAUUGCAGCCGCUGAAACAAAGAAUUGCAUGGAGACCACUGUUGAUAGUUCUGGUAGCGAGAGGAGGCCACUUGUACCUCUUUACCCCCCGGUAGCUAAAUCAGUAGUUGUUGUUGAAUCAGCUAUAAAAGCAAAAGUUAUUCAAAAAUACCUUGGGGACAUGUAUGAAGUAUUACCUAGCUAUGGUCAUGUGAGAGAUCUAGCUGGAAGGUCAAAAUCUGUCCGCCCUGAUGACGACUUCAGCAUGGUAUGGGAGGUGCCUACUGCUGCCUGGACACACCUUAAAAGCAUUAAAGUUGCAUUGAAAGGAGCAGAAAAUUUGAUUCUCGCUUCUGACCCUGACCGUGAAGGUGAAGCAAUUGCUUGGCACAUAAAGGAAAUGCUUGAACAGCAGCCGGGUGUGUUGGGUUCCCAUGUUACUGUUGCAAGAGUUGUCUUCCAUGAAAUUACAGAGGAUGCUAUUAAAAACGCUUUAAUGUCUCCAAGAUAUAUUGAUAUGGACUUAGUUAAUGCUUACCUUGCACGUCGUUCCCUUGAUUAUUUGAUUGGGUUUGGCAUAUCACCACUUUUAUGGAGGAAGUUGCCUGGUUGUCAGUCAGCUGGACGAGUCCAAUCUGCAGCUUUGGCUCUUGUAUGUGAUCGGGAGACUGAAAUAGAACGGUUUACCCCGCAGGAAUAUUGGACUGUUGAUACUGAAUUCGAAACCCAGUGUUCGGAUUCUUCAAAAGGCCUAUGUCUUACAUCCCGGAUAAAGCUUCUCAAUUCAAAAAAGUUGGAUCAGCUUUCUAUAAGCUCUCAAGAAGAAGCACGAGCAAUAGAAAAGAGGAUUUAUUCUUGCCAAUUCGAAGUAAGAGGUGUUAAGAGAAGCAAAAUUUGCAAGAAUCCUCCAAUGCCGUAUAUAACAUCCAGCCUUCAGCAGGAUGCAGCAAACAAACUACAUUUUGGUGCAGGGCGUACCAUGAAGGUAGCCCAGAAGCUUUAUGAAGGGAUCAGUCUUUCGUCAGAACAAACAACGGGGUUAAUAACGUACCUCAGAACAGAUGGGUUUCAUAUUUCUGAUGGAGCCGCAGAAGAUAUUCGUUCGUUAGUGAAAGAAAGGUAUGGAGAGCAAUAUGCACCAGAGGAUAUUAGGAAGUACUUGAAUAAGGUGAAAAAUGCUCAAGAGGCCCAUGAAGCCAUAAGGCCCACCAGCAUAAGGAGGUUGCCAUCAUCUUUGAUUGGAAUACUUGAUGAGGAUUCUUUGAAACUGUACACUCUAAUAUGGAGAAGAACAAUGGCUUGCCAAAUGGAAGCUUCAAGGACUGAGCUGAUUCAAGUUGACAUUAGUAAUCCUGAAGGCGACAUGAUUUUUCAUUCAUCUGCAUCAAGGCUUGACUUCAAGGGGUACCAAGCCGUCUAUGAGGACACUGAAGCAAGUGGGUCCAGUGAAAGCCCUGAAGGAGAAGCUGCACAUCAGGAUAAUUUUGAGGCCUUGUCCAAAUUAAAGAUGAAAGAUUUGGCGUCUCCCGUUAACGUGAAUCUCGGGCAGCACUUUACUAAACCUCCAUCCCGUUAUUCUGAGGGUGCAUUGAUAAAAAAGAUGGAGGAACUUGGAAUUGGAAGGCCGUCUACGUACGCCUCUAUAAUGAGGGUGUUGCAGGACCGGAAAUACGUGACAAUAAAAAGUCGAGUUCUGCACCCUGAGUUUCGUGGUCGAAUGGUCUCAGCAUUUCUUUCACAUCUUUUCUCUGAGAUUGCCGAUUACAGCUUUACUGCUAACAUGGAGACGGAGCUAGACAAUGUCUCUGCUGGUUCAACUGAAUGGAAGGGCCUCCUGACAGAUUACUGGGAACGAUUCACCAAAUACUGCACAGAUGCUAGUCAAUGGGAUGUUAGAAAGGUAGAGAGAAUGCUUGAAGAGAAAUUCCUUCCUAUCCUCUUUCCUGACCUUGACACCGAUAGUAGGGUUUGCCCUAGUUGUUCUGAAGGGACCCUGAGAUUUAAAGUUAGUAGGUACGGCGAAGGCUAUUUUAUAGGCUGUGACCGACAUCCAAAAUGCAAGUACAUCGCCCGCACAUUAUCAGAUGAAGAUGACGAAAAUGAAACCUCCGAGGAAACUCCGAAGUCUUUUGAACCUCGGUUACUUGGUGUCAAGCCUGAUACAAACGAAAAGGUCUUCUUAAAACAAGGUCCUUAUGGUUACUACAUCCAGGUUGGAGAGGAUAGGAAAGGAGCGUCCCAGAAAAGGGCUCCUAUUUCCGAGGUCAAAGAUAUUAACUCUAUCACCAUCGAAGAUGCAAUUGAGCUAUUGCAGUAUCCAAAAGUUCUGGGGAAACAUCCUGAUGAUGAGCAUCCUGUACUUAUGACACAUUCUAAAGCUGGAUUUAGCGUCCGGCACAGGAGAAGCCUUGCUCCAGUGCCAAAGACUCACGACCCAAAGAAGGUUACACUUGAGCGUGCACUGAAGUAUCUGACGGGUAAAAAUGUCAAAAAGUUUGGUCGACCAAAGGGAAAAACUAACAAAAAUGCAGAACCCAUUGAAUGGCAUUAA